GAUGAACGCUGGCGGCGUGCCUAAUACAUGCAAGUCGAACGAAACUUCUUUAUCACCGAGUGCUUGCACUCACCGAUAAAGAGUUGAGUGGCGAACGGGUGAGUAACACGUGGGCAACCUGCCCAAAAGAGGGGGAUAACACUUGGAAACAGGUGCUAAUACCGCAUAACCAUAGUUACCGCAUGGUAACUAUGUAAAAGGUGGCUAUACUACCGCUUUUGCAUGGGCCCGCGGCGCAUUAGCUAGUUGGAGGGUAAAGGCUUACCAAGGCAAUGAUGCGUAGCCGAAUUGAGAGGUUGAUCGGCCACAUUGGGACUGAGACACGGCCCAAACUCCUACGGGAGGCAGCAGUAGGGAAUCUUCCACAAUGGGCGAAAGCCUGAUGGAGCAACGCCGCGUGGGUGAAGAAGGUCUUCGGAUCGUAAAACCCUGUUGUUAGAGAAGAAAGUGCGUGAGAGUAACUGUGCACGUUUCGACGGUAUCUAACCAGAAAGCCACUGCUAACUACGUG
This 511-nucleotide ribosomal RNA is filed under the name uncultured bacterium. Its description in RNAcentral is "partial 16S ribosomal RNA". It matches the Rfam family "Bacterial small subunit ribosomal RNA", at positions 28 to 507 of the family's 1533-position model. The record is from RNAcentral.